AUGGCGGCAAACCGCUAUGUACAGCGUAUGUGCGGCAUCAUUAUGUACAGUGCAUGUGUGCGAUGCCGCACAUACGCUGUACAUAGUGGUUUGCCGCCGG
This is a non-coding RNA of Podarcis lilfordi (Lilford's wall lizard), 100 nucleotides long. The record is from the annotation of a GenBank genome assembly. NCBI's taxonomy places the organism in Eukaryota, Metazoa, Chordata, Lepidosauria, Squamata, Lacertidae.